Molecule: long non-coding RNA, 969 nt
Organism: Bombus pyrosoma
Lineage: Eukaryota; Metazoa; Arthropoda; Insecta; Hymenoptera; Apidae
Exons: 3
Source: RefSeq, a predicted model, not a curated record
UUUCAUAUAUCUAAUGAAAAAUGCAACGAAAAUAUUUUAACGACACAAAUUAACAAUAAAAAUCGUAACACGUGUGUAAGACAUAUUUGUCAAAAUAGUAAUAAUCUGAGUGUAGGUAAUUAUUUGACAAUUAUUGGCGCUCUCAACGUGUAUUGAUCGUUCUCACGGACGAUGACGUCAUGCUAGACAGGAUUGUAUCUAAAGAACAAGAAGCCCCAUUUCGAAUAAUACGUGAAGAAAAGUCCUUCGUUAAUUGGACGUUACGAGUAUUUGGAUUUCAUCGUAUCAUCGAAAUUGGUUUACUAAUUAGAUUAUUCAAUAUAGACUUGUAUCGAUAAUAGACUCAACAAUUCCACGAUGCAUAGUAAUUGUUGGUAAUGUUUAAUGAGAGAUAUUGCGACGUUCGAUUAUAGAAAAUAAAUAUUAUCUUAGUAAUAGCAGUGAAACGAUCGAAAGGCACGUUACGUUGGAGCUCUUUUAGAAAACAAUUAAAUGGUAUCAAAUUUACGAAACGUUUAUGGAACGCUUUAAAAUAGUUCAGUCUACUGUAUUUAAAAAUGAUUUUAACAAUUUGCAUGGAUAUCCAUAGUUACCAAAUUUAUGAAAACACGUUUUGUCAAAAAUAAAAAUGAUUGACUUUAGAUUUUAUGACAUUAAAGUAUAAUAUUUAUUGAGAUAGAAUAUGAAUAAAGUAAACCUUUAGAAUCAAUAGAUUAGGAGAUUGGUAAGUAUGCGUGUUAACAGCCUAUGAUGUUACUUUGCGCAAUAAAGUUUCUAUUUUAUAUGAAAUUUGAGUGGAACGCGAUUCUGAAACACAUAAGUUUGACAUUUUUAUGUAGCAGUCGCUUCAUAAACGAUGAAAUCAUCACAGCAUAUACGCCCUUUUGGAGGUUACGGAUUCUGACAGUGAUGGAAAUGAUAUGACCUUUAUGUAAAAUAAAUUUGCAAGAUUGUUUCAAUAUUACAAUA